This 368-nucleotide ribosomal RNA is filed under the name Gammaproteobacteria bacterium. Its description in RNAcentral is "partial 23S ribosomal RNA". It matches the Rfam family "Bacterial large subunit ribosomal RNA", at positions 2578 to 2925 of the family's 2925-position model. The record is from RNAcentral. Lineage: Bacteria; Pseudomonadati; Pseudomonadota; Gammaproteobacteria.
UGUUCGCCAUUUAAAGUGGUACGCGAGCUGGGUUUAGAACGUCGUGAGACAGUUUGGUCCCUAUCUGGUGUGGGCGUUAGAAACUUGAGAGGAGCUGCUCCUAGUACGAGAGGACCGGAGUGGACGUACCUCUGGUGUUCCAGUUGUCAUGCCAAUGGCAUUGCUGGGUAGCUAUGUACGGACGGGAUAACCGCUGAAAGCAUCUAAGCGGGAAGCCCCCCUCAAGAUUAGGUUUCUCUGGACCUUCGAGGUCCCUGUAGGGUCGUCGUAGACUACGACGUUGAUAGGCGGGGUGUGGAAGUGCAGCAAUGCAUUAAGCUAACCCGUACUAAUUGCCCGUGAGGCUUGAUCAUAUAACACCCAAGAAG